CAUCGACACCCAUGUCAAAUUUGGUUGUCGUAGUGAAAGGGGUCCUACAUGUAGAACUGCGCACACGUAUUAAAUUAAUGUAAUUCUAAAUCUUGAUUAUGAAGCUGACUGAAUUAAGUGAUUUUCACCUCGAGUUUUAAAUAAUGAUAAAUAUCACCAAAAAUAAAGGAAAAUGACUCAUUCUUUCUGGCAAACAAAUGGCAAUCUGGUUGCUAUUCACAGCAGAAAUUUUGCCCUCUGAAUUCUUCGUAUUGUGCAUAUUUUUGCAAGGUGCAAGGACCUGCACAGCUUUACUUUAGUUUAGGACCCCUAAUAUAUGCAAAGUGAAUGGGGGAUCCUGGGGCUAUGUAAUGGGAAAUAUCCUUAAUCUAUGUUUAUUUAUUACUUAUUGGUUUUAUGCCAAUUCGUCCAAUUACCAACUCGUCUACUAUCAUUUGGUCUAGUGUCAGUUCGUCCACUAUAUCCACACGGUCUAAUUGCCAUUCGACAACUUACCAUUUCAUCUGGGCUAAUUGGUCCAUUAUACCAGUUGGUCUAACUCUAAUUGGACUCUUGUUAAUCAGACAAAAUGAAUGAAAGGAAAAUGGGUACCAACUGGUCAUAGACAACCUGGUGAUUAAACAAAGUGAUUAUUAGACCAAAUGGAUGUUAGACGAAAUGUUGAACGAAAUGGCAUUAGACUAAAUGAAGGUACUAGAUCAUGCGAUGGGUGGACGAUUUGGCAGUAGAUGAAUUGGUAAUUUAACGAAAAAUAUGCAUAAAAAGGCUUGCAACAGCAUGAAAAUUGAUUUAUCUAGAUCUAGGUGAUAAAGGUGCUUUUAAAGGAACUGGUAUGAUAUCAAAUGAGAUAUUGUAUAAUCCCAAAAUGAAGAAGUUACACAGAAUUCUCUCAUUCAUUUAGAUCAUUAAUUAUAUAAAUUUAUGCAAAAUUCUUCAUAAAUACUGUAAAUGCUACUUCUCUAUUUUGCAGCUGAUUUUGAUCUUGUAUGUUUUAUUUGAAAUGGCUUGUUUGGGCCUACCAAACUUCUAGUUCUACACAGAAUUCUCAAAUUCAUUAGAUAUGCAAAUUUCUUGAAAUUUAUUAAAGAUUGACAAAGAUGCUAAUUCAGAUUUUUAUCCUGUUCUAUCUAAAUUCUAAUAGGGCUUGGUGGGGGGGGGGGGCAUCCAAACUUCUACACAGAUUCAAACACAUAUGCAAAUUUAUGAAAAAUUAUUCAAAGUUCAUAAACAAUGCUGCUUCUACAUUGAUUGGAUAUGCAAAUUUAAUCAAAUUUAUUGAAUAUUCACAAAAAAUCUACUUCUACGUUAUGCUGUUUUAUCUAAAUUCUAAUAGAGCUUAUUUUAAUGGGGGCAUCCAAACAGAUUUCUCAAAUUCAGUACAAGUAGAUGUACAAAUCUACGACACAUUCAAAGUGCACGAAAAAUGCUACUUCUACAUUCCUUAGCAGAUUUUUAUUCUGUUUUAUCGAAUAGGGCUGGGGGGGGGAGCUUCCAAACUUCUACACAGAAUUAUCAAAUUCACUAGAUAUGCAAAUUUAUUUAAGAUUCACAAAAAUGCUACUUCUACAUUUCUUUUUUUUUAUUCUGUUUGUUUUAUCUAAAUUCUAAUACAUGUACUAGGGCUUGGUGUGGCCAUCCAAAUGCUGAAGUACCAGCUUAACAAGGUGAGCCUUUGAUCAUGUUCUUGCAUAGGGAGCUACAUAUGAGACAUGAAUUUGAAAUGUUUUUGUGUCAUAUGAUAUUUUAUGGUGUUUGUAAACUCUUUUCUCGCUUACAUGUACAUCAUGCCAUGCUUUGUUUGAUGGCCCUGGACUGAUUUUGUCUUGUAAACAAGGAGGAUGCCCAACGAGGGAACGUCAGUGGUGGGUAAGAAGUGGCUUCCACUAGCAGCUCCCAUGAGAUCAAUUCUGACAGCAUAACUAAAUGGAUCUUCAAAGUGCUUCAAUGUGAAGGAUAUUAUCCAAAGGCAUCCCCGUGGGAAAGAAAUAGUAUAACACAAACUCGACGAUAACGACAGAAACCAGAUGCCUUCUGACAACUAUUGUGUUUGCGGAAAUGGUCAAGAUUUUCACCUAGCGAGAUAGCACUGUUCUCAUUCAUCAUGGCAAUAUACAUGGUUCCAGCUCAAACAGCAAGAAGGAAGAGUUCACUGGCAGACUCCAUGGGAUACUUUUUGGUGACUAGACCAAUCAGUACAAUUGUGGAAUCCCACCUGGCUGAAGAGAUGAAUGACAAGAAGCGGAGACAACCAUACCUUUUGGGCAUAGGAGAUCACAACAACUCAUCUCAGUUUUUCAUUGUUGUGGAUGAUCUAGCUAUCCCCUGCGAAGGUGACAUCACAGAGGCUGUUGACAAACUGUUUAAGGUCCAAUUCUUGUUCAACAUCCACUAUGCAGAUGAAGUCUAUGGAUUUUUUCUGGGGAUUUUUUGCAUUCAUACAGAACUUUGUUUACGGCAUAAGUGGACAAGAAGCAGUUCCAGCCCAUGCCAGAGAAAUGAUGGCAAGCAUCACUGCCUUGGAAGUGACUGCAAACAAAUGACUGACUUCAGUAUUGCCUGUCCUCAAACGAGCAUAAUUAACUCAAAAGGGUGUGGAGGUCACAUGGUAGGAUCAAAGAUCAUUUGUAUUCAUGAAGUGCUGGCUGAUAUUUUUUUUUCUGUUCCCACUUGGAACAUUCUUCCCUGCUUAAGUUGAUAGAGGAUGUUCACUUUUUAAAUGUACACAAUUCCAUAAUCAAUGGAAGAUCACUGUUGAAUAAAUUUGGGUUUAUUCAUCCUCAAAUAUUCCAGGAUAUUCUCAUAUUUUUUAAAAGAAAAAAAUCUUGGUCAGUAAUGUAUAUGUUAAAUAAAUUUACCUUGAACACAUCUCUUACAGUGCAUAUAUAUAAAAAAAUUAACCCUUUUGAAAAUAAUUUUCACAAUCACAUUUCAAAAUAUGGAGAUGAUUUUUUUUAAUGGCUUUUGGUACUCUAUAGUCUCUUCUAUCAAAUGCUGCUUGAGCGAGCGGUGACCAUUUUUGUCCAGAGUGUCAAAAAGUGCUUUGUGCCAAAAUUGAAAGAAAAGGAAAAAUUAAUUCAGCAGUCUGAUUAGGAUUCAUACUCAAAUCACUUGCUCUUUUGCAUACAUUUAUGAUCAUUUCAGAAAUGGAUAACUUUCCUAACCUUGGAAGAAUGGGGGGGGGGGGUGUUUAAUUGAAAUGAUAACUUCAUUUUAGGGGGAGGGUGUCCCACUUCUGACAAAGCCCGAUCCGGGAAUAGGUGUUCACGACUGCAUUGUGCAAUUAUCCUGGUGUUUCGGUAUUCAGAAGGGUGGUGAAGUUUGAUUUCUAAUAGGUAUCUUAGAUUUGGAGGUAAUCUGUGAUAGCAGUGAUAAAUGUUCUUGCUAUCGUUGGGGGGGGGGUCCCACUUCAAUUUUCCAUAUUUCUGAUCCCACAGUUCAUAGCCAGGGAAUAGAUCACAACUGCAUUGUGCGACCCUAGGUCUCUCUUGAAGUAUGAUUUCAUUCAUGAUAGUACCCACCAAUAAAUAGACAAUGUCAAGCUGAUAAUAUAAAUCAAAUUAAUUGAACUUACUACUUUUUUUUUCUUGGUAUGUACAUACCUUCUUUAACAACCAAGCAGUAAUCAGGGAUAUUUCAUAAACAUGAAGAUGUUAUAGUGUUUUAGCAAACAGUGUCCUAGACACCAUGGAGUAAGGAUCUUUAUUUCACUCAUAUUUUCAUUACAAAAUAUUCACUAUUGCAGUAAUCAAGGGCAGGUAAUGAUAGAUUAGAUGAUGUACAUGCCCAAGUAAUUGUGUCUUCAUCUUUUAGUGUACAUAUUUGAAUAAAGAUAUAGCAAAAAGCAGUCAUCAUACAUUCUUCCGUCUAUUCACUAAAAUGGGUGGAAAGGCUAAAGCUGUAACAACAAGUUGUGAAAUACUUUGGGUUUUUUUGGGUUGUUAAAUACUUUCUUUUUUAGCUUAUUGACCCUAUACAUGUAUAGCAUGGCUAUUUUUGAAUUGUUUAGGCAGGGAUUGGCUGCUAAUGGUCUCAAAAGAUGCAUAGACUUAAAAGCCAUGAAACAUAGCGAGAGCUUGUUGAGGUUAAGGGCUACAGCCCCCCUCCCGGCCGGAGAGGGUUGAGUGGCAAAAUGACAUACCAGACGGGAGAUAAAUACACUCAAUCGGUAGCAUGGG
Lytechinus variegatus (green sea urchin) is the source of this 4175-nucleotide long non-coding RNA. RefSeq lists it as uncharacterized. The transcript is spliced from 4 exons. Lineage: Eukaryota; Metazoa; Echinodermata; Echinoidea; Temnopleuroida; Toxopneustidae. The record is from RefSeq and is a predicted model, not a curated record.